Molecule: ribosomal RNA, 378 nt
Filed under: uncultured archaeon
Lineage: Archaea
Description: bacterial SSU rRNA
Rfam family: Archaeal small subunit ribosomal RNA
Source: RNAcentral
CCGACGGUGAGAGGUGAAAGCUGGGGGAGCAAACCGGAUUAGAUACCCGGGUAGUCCCAGCUGUAAACGAUGCGCGUUAGGUGUAUCAGUGACCACGAGUCACUGAGGUGCCGAAGAGAAAUCGUGAAACGUGCCGCCUGGGAAGUACGGUCGCAGGGCUGAAACUUAAAGGAGUUGGCGGGGGAGCACCACAACAGGUGGAGCCUGCGGUUUAAUCGGACUCAACGCCGGAAAUCUCACCAGAUAAGACAGCUGAAUGAUAGUCGGGCUGAAGACUCUACUUGACUAGCUGAGAGGAGGUGCAUGGCCGUCGUCAGUUCGUACUGUGAAGCAUCCUGUUAAGUCAGGCAACGAGCGAGACCCCACGCCAACAGUUGC